AUUGAACGCUGGCGGCAGGCCUAACACAUGCAAGUCGAGCGGGGACUUCGGUCCUAGCGGCGAACGGGCGAGGAAUGCUUGGGAAUCUGCCCAGUAGCGGGGGAUAACGUUUCGAAAGGAACGCUAAUACCGCAUACGCCCUACGGGGGAAAGGGGGGGAUCUUCGGACCUCUCACUAUUGGAUGAGCCCAAGUCGGAUUAGCUAGUUGGUGGGGUAAAGGCCUCCCAAGGCGACGAUCCGUAGCUGGUCUGAGAGGAUGAUCAGCCACACUGGAACUGAGACACGGUCCAGACUCCUACGGGAGGCAGCAGUGGGGAAUAUUGGACAAUGGGCGAAAGCCUGAUCCAGCCAUGCCGCGUGUGUGAAGAAGGCCUUCGGGUUGUAAAGCACUUUAAGCGAGGAGGAAUGGCUCUUGGUUAAUAACCUUGAGCAGUGACGUUACUCGCAGAAUAAGCACCGGCUAACUCUGUGCCAGCCGCCGCCGUAA
This 488-nucleotide ribosomal RNA is filed under the name uncultured bacterium. Its description in RNAcentral is "partial 16S ribosomal RNA". It matches the Rfam family "Bacterial small subunit ribosomal RNA", at positions 30 to 523 of the family's 1533-position model. The record is from RNAcentral.